CCUCGUUUGUUGCAGUAUAUUUUGAACAAAUAAACAAUUUAUUAGGAAAAUACGUUCAAGAAACGUCUCGUGCUGUACUAGCCUAAUUCUGGCAAAUGUUAUUUACUUUCUUCACCUUCGUGUCGACGACUGUUGUUUGCUGAUGGCCAAAUCACGACAGCGGACAUCAAUUAUUCAAAAUAUGUUCUUAUAGCUUCACGUUUACGAUACGAAUGUAAGAUUAUUUAUUUUUUGUAUAUGUAGGUUCUAGUUGAAAGUAACAGCGACGAUGAAAAAAGUGCACACAACAUUGAAAUAUCCAGUUCACUACUAGCUCAAAUCCUGCGACAUAUCACUUGCUAGUAGCCCAGUCUAGUUUAACUUUGCCCAAUCAAGAAUCAUCUCCUGAAUCAGGCAUACUGGCAACACUGGUUCAUUUGAUAAUGUAAGUUUUUAAACUGGUAUUUUAGAUUUAUAUAGCCUCGGUCAAAUGAGGAUGAAAGUCAUGCAUGAAUUGCUUAUCAAUACACAAAGGACAUUUGAAGUUCCAGAUGAACAAAAUAUUUAUAUUAAAGCUUUGAUGAGUGUUCUGCAACUAUUUUUCAACUUUAAAAUACUCUCAUCCUCAUUUGACCCAUAAUUAUUUGUUGAUUUUACUCGAUACUAAAUAGUGAAACAUCGAAUCCAGAGAAAAUCUUUAUACGCAGAACCCACUGUAAUUCCGAGCUGUAAUCACAUAAUUAUAUAAAAGUCGUUUCAGUAGCAGCAAAAGCCAAACUAAACACCAAUCUAGGAUUAAUAGGUUUAGCUUUUAGGCCGAGAAUAAUACACGAUUGACAAUUUUGUGGCUGAUUGAUUAAUUAAUUAAUAGUAUACUGUAUAUUGAUGUUGUAUACAGGACAUCUGACUUACAUGUCAAAUUAAUAGUCGAAUCUAUGAUUAUAUUGAGCAUGGCAGAUUUGACAUUUGAAACAUUGUUGAUGUUAAUAACCCAUUGAGUCGCAUUGCGCCCUGAUGCGCACUAAGUAUUUAUUAUUUUGCUCUGGCUAUCUAACGCUAGCAAUUUUACUCAUCAAGGGGAGAGCACUGGCGGUUAAUGUGUUAACUAGCCUAUCUGCCCAUGUGUACAUAGUUAACCCAUUGAGUCGCAUUGUGCCCUAAUGCGGCCUAAUUUAUUAUUUUACUCUGCCUAUCGCAGGACAAUAUUAAGGGCAGAGCGCUGGCACUUAAUUAAUGUGUUAACUAGCCUAUCUGCCCAUGUGUGUUGUUAACACAUUGAGUUGCAUUGUGCCCUAAUUUAUUAUUUUAUUCUGUCUAUCGCCAGAUGAUUUCACUCAUUAAGGGGAGAGCACUGGUGCUUAAUGGGGUUAACUGGCCUAUCUGCCCAUGUGUGUUGUUAACACAUUGAGUCGCAUUCUGCCCUAAUUUAUUUUUUUACUCUGUCUUGAGAGGAGAACGCUGGUGCUUAAUAGGGUUAAUAUUGAAAAUAUAGAUCAACAUUUGUCAAAACGCAUGACUUGUGCAAUCAUUUCUGUAAUAAUUAAGAUAUUAAUUAAAAUACCAAAUAUAAUGCCUUAUGGCAAAUAGGGAGAUGCUAUGUAUGUCCAUUGAAACUUAGUGGAUUUGUUGUAGUACAUCAAAUAAAUGCUAGCCAUAAACAUAUUCAAGUCAAUCGAAGAGAAUGUAGAAUUGCACUUUACAUAAAAUUCCCUAGUUAUUGUACAUUAAUGAAAAAAAAAGCAUUUGAAAUGAAAUAUAUUGUUUUAAUUUUAUUUCUAUGGUUUGUACUAUGAUAUACAUGGGCUACACACUCUUUGGGAACCCGCAGGGCUGUUGGCAGAGCAUUUCCAUGAUCUGGAACUUCAGUCCUAAACACGAUGUGUGGGUGCGAAGAUGUUGUGUAGGAACAGAACUGUACAGAUUAGAAAUAUGAUUACUGAUAUUUUCCAAAGAAAAACUAUUAAUAUAUAGAAGAGGAAAGAAAGAGGCAAUUUGAAAUUUAAAAAUGGUAGGCUUAUUAAGGAUGAGAUACAGAGAAAAACAGUAAUGCAGAACUACAUUCUCUUAAAUUGUCAAAAUUAAACGCUACCAAUCUUGGUCUCGUUUCAAACUUGAAUAACAAAAAGUCUAAAAAUACAAAUACUAUAAGAACAGAUCAGCUAGGUCCAGUUAUAAAAUUAAAUGAUGAAGGAAAGCUAUCAUUUUAGGAAAGUGUUGUUUUGGGGUGUGUAAACUCAUGAGGAUACAUGUUUCUGGUGAAUCUGUGCUUGCUGCAGCAAAAAAUUAUUAAUCGUUUGUGAUAUAAUUCACCAGAUGUCUAUUUUAACCUGUGGGUUGUGGAAUUUGUUUUGUCUGACCAAGAUAUAAUGAAUACCACUAGUCACAUGAGCAUGUCCAAUUAAUAUUUAACUAGAAAUAAAUGCAUGCAGCAACCCCUUGCCUAUAUUUUCCAAACAUUGAUUUAACAUGAACUAUUAGCAAUUGGCCAGCACUGAACGCAGUCUCGCGUUGUGUCAAGUGUUGUCAAGGCAACAUAAUGUCACAUAUUUUAAAUUUUUUGAGUAAUUUUGCAAGUGUUCAUACCACAUAAUCUACCAUACAUAAUUUUAAACAAAUAGAUAGGUGAAGUAAUUCAAACAAAAUGAUUUUGAACUUUAUUACUCUACUCUGUCGAACGCCUAUUCUACUCGUAAAGGGGAGAGCUCUGGUGCUUAAUGGGUUAAAUAAGAUCGUAUAGUUAUAUGUAUAUCAUGUAUUAUGUUUUUAUGUAGUCUGCCUGAAUCACUUGUACCAGUCUAUGGAAAUUCAUGUUUCCAAUUUUGUAUUUAUUUUUCUUAUGAUGCAGUAUACUGUAAAUUUGAAUAAUAUUUGUGUGCUUAUAGUGAGCUUAUUUUUAGGAGAGUUUGUUGCGAGGCAGCAUAUAUUUUGAUUUUUCAAAAUAUUGCUGUAUAUUGGUAUGUUAUACUUAAUAUUAGAAUGUUAGGGUUUGGAAUCCAAGUGAGAAUAUAUACAUUUUAAGACCUAACCAGGAACGACUGCGAAAAAUGCAGCCCAAGGUCCUCUGGUAGGAAUCGAACCUACGGCCCUGCGAUUCCGGUGCAGCGCUCUAACCAACUGAGCUACAGAGGCCAGCUGUUGAGCUGUAACCGUAAGUUCGUGUAUAUAUAGGUAACCGGGUGUGCGGGUUGUGAUAAGGUGGACUUCAUGACUUAGAUUCUGCACUUCACUUGGUGGAAUUAAUAUUAGAAUGUUAGGGUUUGGAAUCCAAGUGAGAAUAUAUACAUUUUAAGACCUAACCAGGAACAACUGCGAAAAAUGCAGCACAAGGUCCUCUGGUAGGAAUCGAACCUACGGCCCUGCGAUUCCGGUGCAGCGCUCUGAGCUACAGAGGCCAGCUGUUAAGCUGUAACCGUAAGUUCAUGUAUAUAUAGGUAAUCUGGUGUGCGGGUUGUGAUAAGGUGGACUUCAUCAUGAUUCUAAUAUUAAUUCCACCAAGUGAAGUGCAGAAUCUAAGUCAUGUUAUACUUAAUGCUUUUGGAAGAGUUAUAGGGGUCGGGUGUGAUAUACUUUUUCAGGUAUUUUGUGUCUGAUGUAUGUAAGAGCUUUAUUAUUGGGUUUCUUGGUGAGACCUUAUAUCUUAUGUGUCCUAUAACCCCGUGUAAUUGCGGAUUAUUGCAUACAUUCUAAUUGUUUUUUUGUAGGAGUCUGAAGAUGCAAAAGAUUCAAACUUAUCACAACCCAUAUUGUGGUCGUUGGCAUCGAACUUACUAGAAUACGACUAGAAACUGUCAAUCAUACGUUAUUGAGGGAAAGGAUGAAAGUUCCAUAACAAGCAACAGUUGUUUUGUUGCAAUUAUCGCCUUAUUGGCAAGUUUUUACAUCUUCAAUAUUGAGUACUGCCACACGAAGAGCAUCUUAUCUGCCUUGCAGAUUAUAGUAGUGCAUGGGCAAGACAGAAAAUGGCAUAUACAACUGCCAGUGAGGGUCACAGCCCUCUUCAAUGACUUGUCAUGACUCAUGAGUAUUAGUACUACAGUAAUUUUACACUUUUUGAGAGUUAUGUUGACAUAUGCUAACCCAAGUUAAUGUUAUUGAUGGAAUGUGUGUAUUGUCUCACAUCUCACCGAACUGUGGUAAUGUAUUAGAAAUUAUUCGUAUUGCGUUCAUGUUAACAACCGCGCCUGCUAUUGCUAUCACAAGUUGAUUGCUCUUUAAAAUUAGAAUUGUAAAGCCAUAUGGCAUAUAUGUACGAAUCUUUUGAUGGUUCCCACAUUUCGGUGAGAUCCAUAAUACUGGCUACUGUGCAUGUAUAUUGUAAUUUUUGUUAUAGUAUUGUGUUUAUAAUACAGAAAUUGGAACAUUUAUCUCAACUUAUAUUGCAAUAAUUCAUUCCAAUCUUGGUCUGUUGGAGAAAUUGUAAUAAUUUAAUCGAGACCAAAUAAACCCC
Paramuricea clavata is the source of this 4426-nucleotide non-coding RNA. The record is from the annotation of a GenBank genome assembly. Lineage: Eukaryota; Metazoa; Cnidaria; Anthozoa; Malacalcyonacea; Plexauridae.